Non-coding RNA from Oryzias latipes (Japanese medaka), 1480 nucleotides. The record is from RefSeq and is a predicted model, not a curated record. Lineage: Eukaryota; Metazoa; Chordata; Actinopteri; Beloniformes; Adrianichthyidae.
AAGAAGCACAAACAACACAAACUGUUCACACAAAGGCUUCACAUCACUGUGAGGCUCCAAUUCUGUCUUAGGUCAGACAAAGCAGCUCAAUCCAACACCUGUCACCAUCAGAGUUACAUCAUGUGUCCCUUUAAUUCACACAUUGACACGUUUUCUCACUGAAAUCAUUUCAGACAUCUUUGUGAUUAUUUUACAGAUUUUUAUGUAAAGUGACACAAUUGUAAUGAUUUUUGUUGUGAUUGCCCAAGGCGGGGCUCGAACUCACGACCUUGUGCACGGCAGCAAGAGGCCCCCCUCCUGCCCUCUUCCCCCCACAAACAAGAAUGAGCAUUAUUCUCUGUCACUACUUUUUUUUGUUCCGAUUGUUCCAAUUUCCCAACCAAUCAAAUGGCAGCAUUUGUUCCAAUUUCAAGUAUCAAAAUUUGGGCGUCCAAUCAGAGAGCCGGAUUUGUUCCAAUUUCUCGAUCCCGCCCCCCGGCUUUUACUGUCAUGGCUGCCGUCUUCCUGGUUGGACGUAAGUGCUGUUUUUCCUUUUAUUUAACGACAAAUCGACGGUUUUAAUUGCUGAAAUGAUAUUGAUAUUUUUUUUAUGGAAAAGUCUCUUCCCUUUUCUGUGGCGUGUUUUUAGUAAAAGAUGCGCUAAUAGAUUGUAAAACUGUGGCUUUCUGCUUAGUUUUUCUCCUGCUAGUUUUUUAAAAGUAUGUUGUUCACAUUCUGGGUAAGUUAUGUGAACAUAUGCUGAUGCACGGAUUAUAAAACGAUUAUAAGGCUGCAAAUAAGAUUAUAGGGCUCAUUUCACGACUUUUAAAGGUUUAUAAAGUAAGAAUGGUGGACCAACAAUGAUGCUUUCCUCUGGAAGGACUUUUUAGACCCACAAGGAGGAAGAACUCUUCUUUUUCUGGGAAGGAGAGUCUCCAACAGUUUUGUGGAACUCCAGGCUGAUGGCUCAGACCGGACUUCAGAUGUUUCAGCGGAACCAGAGGACCCUGUGACAGUGGUUCUCCAGUCAGGUUGAAAAAGUGGGAGCAGGAAGCUGGACUCCGUCCUCAUUCCUAUUGUUUCCCUGCAGCUAAAGGGCUGUCCUCGCUUCAGGUGGGACAGGGACAGCCCUACGACUACAAGAUGCCAGAGGAGAACAUUCCUCUGCCAGCAACACAUUCCAAAUAUGAAUCCUGAAGCUCCACCACCAUCAUCACCUCCUUCUCCUCCUAAGCGUGUGCCCAGGACCACCGCCUUUAGAAGGAGGAAAGCGUCAGAAGCAGCUGCAGCACCAGAGCAAGUUCCCUGACAGGUUAUGCAGACCACCUGCAGAAAGUGUGGCCACAAACGGAUUUCUGGGAUGUCUGACUGCGCAGCUGCAGACGGGAAGAGUGUGGAGGAAUGGAGGGAAGAAAUGAAAAGAUCCAAGGACCAAUAAAGACUAUUUAAAUACGUAUUUUACAUUUUUUGGAUUGAAAAAGAAAUAAAAUGUUGCUGCAAA